This is a non-coding RNA of Poecilia reticulata (guppy), 688 nucleotides long. NCBI's taxonomy places the organism in Eukaryota, Metazoa, Chordata, Actinopteri, Cyprinodontiformes, Poeciliidae. The record is from RefSeq and is a predicted model, not a curated record.
GCCGAAUCCUGGAAGAUUCUGCAACAACUUGAACACGUUGUAAAAAAGUGACAAAACGAGWACAGACAGUGACUUACUCAAAGAUGUCCACUUCACAGACAAACAAACUGAAGRUAUAUAAAGUCUGUGUUUCCAUCUCUGAGACAUCCUGUGACCAGAAACUGCUGCUGGAACAGACUCUUCAACUAAUCAUCAAAACAAGAUGGCUGCUGGUCUUGUCUUCACUCUGCUUCUUGGUCUGAGCUUUGGACUCUGGGAUGGAGUUGAUGUAAGUAUGGAGAAGGACUUAAAACAAUGAUUGGUACGUCCCUGUUGGGAGCUUUGGCUGACUGACGYAGAUCAGAUGGAGCAAUCUGAGACAUUAUUUGGUUGAAGUUCAAUGAGAAAACUUUGUUUUGUUCUGAAACUUUGGGUUUUUCCAUCCACAGGCAACUCAACUGAGAGCUCCCGCAGAACUUGACUGCCCUGCAGGCUGGAGUUGGUUCGAUCAUCGCUGUUUUGUGUUUGUGCCUUAUCAAAUGACCUGGGCUGCAGCAGAGAAAUAUUGCCUCUCAUUGGAUGGACAUCUGGCCUCAUACCACAAUAUAGCGGAGUACAACUUCAUCAGAGAGCUUGUCCUCAGAGUUUCUGGAAAACACACAUCAUCUUGGGUUGGCGGUUAUGAUGCACCACAGGUGAAAUUUUAAAA